GCGCCGGUGGCGGAGGCGGUGCGCGCGGCGGCGGUGAGCCCGCCGGCCACGGCGGCCAGCCGCUCGCCGACGACGAUCACCGCGCCAUCGGCGCGC
Molecule: transfer RNA, 96 nt
Filed under: Streptomyces tuirus
Lineage: Bacteria; Bacillati; Actinomycetota; Actinomycetes; Kitasatosporales; Streptomycetaceae
Description: tRNA-Leu
Source: RNAcentral